AUAUUGCUAAGCGGUGGAAAAGAAACUAACAAGUAUUCCCGAAGUAACGGCGAGUGAAUCGGGAGAAGCCCAGCGCUGAAUCCACCGGCCCCUGGUCGGCUGGAGGUGUAGCGUAUAGGGGUCGCAUUCGGCAGUCGUGGCCACCGUAAGUUCCCUUGACCGGGACCAUAAUCCACGGAAGGUGCAAGACCUGUGAGGGUGGCGUCGCGGUCGUCUGUAGCCCCUGGGAGUCGGAUUGCCUGAGAUCGCAGUCCAAAGCGGGUGGUAAACGUCACCUAAGGCUAAAUAUGACCACGAGACCGAUAGCGCACAAGUA
This 316-nucleotide ribosomal RNA is filed under the name uncultured eukaryote. RNAcentral describes it as "partial large subunit ribosomal RNA". It matches the Rfam family "Eukaryotic large subunit ribosomal RNA", at positions 40 to 350 of the family's 3401-position model. The record is from RNAcentral.